UCGGUGGGCAACUUCAGCGCCAUGCAGAGCAGCCCGCUGGAUUCGUGUAUGCGCAACCUGGGCGAGAGUUUCGGCCCCACGACCGACACAAUCGCGGUGGCAUUCCCGUGCAACCGGGAUGAGACGCGGAGUCGAGCUCGAUGCCUUCGAGCGCAGCUUUCGGUGAGGGCCGGCGCUGGCCAAUCAAGCCAGGGUAUUCAACGUGGAUGAUAUGUUCGCGCCCAUUGGGCGCCUGAAGCUCAUACUGCUGCUUAUCAACCUGGUCUACUGAAGAGGUUCGAGCAAGGAAUUGAGCUUGGCGGCGAAGCACACCCGUCAGACGACGGACGCAUGAUGAAUAUACGUUUAUGCCGAGAAACAAGGAAAAAUGAAAAACGCGAUCAAGAAGUCUGUGAUCUAUCAUCUGGAUAUCGUACUUUAAUGUUGUGCAAUUACUAUUUCUUUAAUGUUAUAGCUACUGCGUAGUCUCGCCCCACAAAUACACCAUUACAACACAGCACGUAUGCCGCGCAUGGGAAGAAUUCAGCGCUGUACACGUAUGGAUCAUACCGAGACGCGAAGAGAACAGCUGAGCACUUCUAUUUGCCUAAACACAGAGAUGAAGGUAUGAAACGUUCUGCCAGGCUAUUCUUUAAACAUGAUUUGCGUAAUCUUCUUCGAUUCAUUUCCUUGGUGAUGCGGCAUCCUUGAUUCUUGUAUCAUCUCGCAUUACUUGAAUGAUUUUUAAUUUUUCGUUGUUCACGGCGCAACCGUUGAGGUGAAAUCAGCAUCAACUUUCUCAGGAAGCUGAACGCAAGUAUGGAAUAAAUCACUUUGACAGAGUUC
Long non-coding RNA from Dermacentor andersoni, 825 nucleotides. RefSeq lists it as uncharacterized. The record is from RefSeq and is a predicted model, not a curated record. NCBI's taxonomy places the organism in Eukaryota, Metazoa, Arthropoda, Arachnida, Ixodida, Ixodidae.